UACAAAAUAAAACAUCUGGUUUGAAUUAAAAGUUUUAAUUGGAUAUUUGCUACAUGAUGACAAACAUCAAUAUGUCACGAAUAUCUGGACAUCUGACAAUAGAAAAAGACGCUGAAUUUUUUCUAGCUCAGAAUACUUCCCGUCACUUAGAACACAUUAUGCCACUCGUGGAGCGGUUCCGGAAGUCUUUCCUGAGAGUCUUUGUGAAGUGUGAUGGAAGUGUGAGGAGUGCCAUCCAAGGGAAAAGCAGGCUUGCAAGGAAAGCUUAAGGAGUCCUCGUCCACAUUAUCCACCGUAUCUGGCCCUCUGUGACUUCUUGCUCUUCCCCAAAAUCAAAGUGACCGUGGAAAGUAAAGGUUUUAAAUCAGUUCAGGAUACCAAAGCAACCACAACAGUAUAACUGAAGAAACUUACGAAGAAAAAUUUCCAGAACUGCUUCAGAAAGUGGCAAGCAUGGUGGGAUAAAUGUCUUUGAAGCAAGAGGCAGAGGAGUGACAGGUAAAAAAUCCAAAGGCAAAAUGGGAAAGCGUUCCUGUCAUGGAAGGCAUUAGAAGUAGACCUCCAAAAUAGGUAGGAAAACAGCAGAAUGAAAGGGAAGACACGUCUUCCCAAACCCAGGAAACAGAGCUCAAAGGCAAAGAGUAAGAGCAUUGUGGAUUUUACUUCAAGAAUUCAUUCCAUGAUGAGGAGAACAACUAUCUUACAGAAUAUUUAUAGCUUUGUUUUUGUGUUUGUGUUUAGAUCAACUUUCUCCUCCACCAACAUAAUGUGAGUUUUUUUUUUAUUUGAUGGACCAGUACUGUUCAUUUCAAUUUAUUCAGUUGGCCUACGCAGAAUUUCUGGUGCAUGAGGCAGGCUUCUUUUCAUUGGUUCUAGCCUUAAAUUCAUCAUUAUGUUUUUUCUUUUUAAUUUUUGUUCCUGCCUUAAGUUUGGUUUCCCAGUAAUGAGACUCUGAGGUGGAGUUUGGUGUGGAGGAUGCUUGUUUAGACAGAACCUUGGGAUCAUCAUCUGUGGAAGUAAAAUGAGCAAUGCAAGAAUAUCUGAUAGAGGGACAAAGUGAGCUGUGAAGCAGUUCCAAAGAAAGCUGCAGCUGAUCUCAAGGAGAUAAAAGGCUAUCAUAUCCCCCAUCUUUUCCCAAUUUGAGUUGAGACAGCCAGCUGUUUACAUGCCUACAUCAAUUGGCCAUGGGAUAAGAGCUUCCCAGUGCUACAGACUAAGUGUUUGUAUCCCUCUUACCUCAGAAAGUUCCUAUGUGGAAGCCUUAAUCCCUCACAUGAUGCUAUUUGGAGGUCUGAACUUUGGAAACAGUUACUUAGAUUCAUAAAGAUAGAGCUCAGUGAUAGGAUUAGUGAUUUUACAAGCAGAGACCAGAGCCUUGUCUGUCCCGUGAGGAUACAGCAAGAAGGUAGCUACCUGCAAACCAGAAAAAGGAUCCUCAUCACACACUGAAUGUGCUGGCACUUUGAUCUGGGAUCUCCUGACCUCCAAGACUAAGAAAAACAUAUUUAUUGGGCAAGUCACUUAGGGUAUGGUAUUUCACUGCAGCAGUUUCAGCUGACUCAGAUAUACAAGAAGGGUAGUGAACAUGAAAAAGGUAACUGUCUCAAGUCAAGGUUAUUUUUGAAGCUCUGGACAGCUGAAAGAAGAUCUGCUGAUAACACCCCCCAUAGCCAGCCAGCACGUGCUUUACUGAAAGUAGUUAUGGAAACAAACGUCCAUAUAUAUUCACUACACUCUCCGUUCCUUCUGAUAUUUCAGUAACACUUGUUAAAUCUCUGCAAUAAACAUGUCAUUUGUCAUUUUCUCUUCAGUUUUCUAAA
Chinchilla lanigera (long-tailed chinchilla) is the source of this 1820-nucleotide long non-coding RNA. RefSeq lists it as uncharacterized. The record is from RefSeq and is a predicted model, not a curated record. Lineage: Eukaryota; Metazoa; Chordata; Mammalia; Rodentia; Chinchillidae. The transcript has 4 exons.